RNAcentral lists this ribosomal RNA (678 nucleotides) under Rhinella pygmaea. Its description in RNAcentral is "partial 12S ribosomal RNA". It matches the Rfam family "Bacterial small subunit ribosomal RNA", at positions 61 to 1255 of the family's 1533-position model. The record is from RNAcentral. Lineage: Eukaryota; Metazoa; Chordata; Amphibia; Anura; Bufonidae.
GCUCCCCUGUGAAAACGCCCUUAAACCCCUUUUAGGGACAAGGAGCUGGAAUCAGGCACGAAAAUCUGCCCAAAACACCUAGCUAUGCCACACCCACAAGGGAAUUCAGCAGUGAUUAACAUUGAAAAUAAGCGAAAGCUUGACUCAGUUAAAGUAAGAUAGAGCCGGCUAAUCUGGUGCCAGCCGCCGCGGUUACACCACGUGGCUCAAAUUGACCCCCUACGGCGUAAAGCGUGAUUAAAGUUUUCAUUUUCUAGAGUUAAAUUAAAAUUAAGCUGUGACACGCCUGUUUAUUAAGAAACCCAAAAACGAAAGUUACUCUAACUCAAUCAACUUGAACUCACGACAGCUGGGGAACAAACUGGGAUUAGAUACCCCACUAUGCCCAGCAGUAAACUUUUAUUUACACCUGAAUCGCCAGGGAACUACGAGCUAAGCUUAAAACCCAAAGGACUUGACGGUACCCCAUAUCCCCCUAGAGGAGCCUGUCCUAUAAUCGAUAAUCCACGUUUAACCUCACCAUCUCUAGUUACUCAGCCUGUAUACCUCCGUCGUCAGCUUACCACGUGAGCGCUAAUUAGUGAGCCUAAUGUUCUUUCACCAACACGUCAGGUCAAGGUGCAGCAUAUGAGAUGGGAAGAGAUGGGCUACACUUUCUAUUCUAGAAGAAACGAAAAA